RNAcentral lists this transfer RNA (73 nucleotides) under Mustela putorius furo (domestic ferret). It matches the Rfam family "tRNA". Rfam says of the family: Transfer RNA (tRNA) molecules are approximately 80 nucleotides in length. Their secondary structure includes four short double-helical elements and three loops (D, anti-codon, and T loops). Lineage: Eukaryota; Metazoa; Chordata; Mammalia; Carnivora; Mustelidae. The record is from Rfam by way of RNAcentral.
AACUAACUAGCUCAGUCAGUAGAGCAUGAGACUCUUGAUCUCAGUGUCCUGAGUUCGAGCCCCAUAUUGGGUG